Molecule: long non-coding RNA, 487 nt
Filed under: Equus asinus (donkey)
Lineage: Eukaryota; Metazoa; Chordata; Mammalia; Perissodactyla; Equidae
Description: lncRNA (ENSEASG00005031192.1)
Source: RNAcentral
CUGCGCCAUGCAGGCCUGUGUGGGAGCCUCCCCUGGGUCUGGGCGUGCAGAUGUAUGGGUGCAGGCCCCCCAACAGUGUGAAGGCAAUGGUCGGUGUGCGCUAGUGUGGACCCCUUCCUAAUCCUGAAUGCAGGAAUUUAUUACCUCUUCAUGACAAUCACAGGCAAUGUUAUCAUGCCCAUGUUUCAGAUGACGAAGCUGAGGCUCUCAGAGCAGGACUCCUAUGGCCAGCUUCGUAGCCACCGCCUCCUGGUCAAGCUCUUGUCAGCAUCCAGCUCCUGGGUGAGUGAGCAGGAGGGGUCCACUCAAGGAGCCUGUGGACACUGAGUUUCUUAACCCCAGCACGAUCUGAAGGAUUGCGUGUUAGACUGAGGAGGUCUGGCAGCGGCAGCUGGGAAAAUUAAAACUAGAGAGCCCUGUAGAAGCUGUGGAUCCAGCAUCAUUAUCAGCGAAAUUGUGGCCGUGAUAAAGCAACAUUUACCUACAG